This 460-nucleotide ribosomal RNA is filed under the name uncultured bacterium. Its description in RNAcentral is "partial 16S ribosomal RNA". It matches the Rfam family "Bacterial small subunit ribosomal RNA", at positions 338 to 795 of the family's 1533-position model. The record is from RNAcentral.
CCUACGGGGGGCAGCAGGGAGGAAUAUUGGUCAAUGGACGGAAGUCGGAACCAGCCAUGCCGCGUGCAGGAAGACGGCGCUAUGAGUUGUAAACUGCUUUUGUACAAGGGUAAACCGGAAUACGUGUAUGCAGCUGAAAGUACUGUACGAAUAAGGAUAGGCUAACUCCGUGCCAGCAGCCGCGGUAAUACGGAGGAUCCAAGCGUUAUCCGGAUUUAUUGGGUUUAAAGGGCGUGUAGCCGGGUUGACAAGUCAGAUGGGAAAUCCUGCGGCUUAACCGCCGAACUGCAUUUGAAACUGUUGAUCUUUAGUACUGGAGAGUCAGCCGGCAUUCCUAGUGUAGCGGUGCAAUGCGUAGCUCUUAGGAGGACCACCAGUGGCGACGGCGGUCUGCUGGACAGCAACUGCCGGUGAGGCGCGCCAGCGUGGGGAGCAAACCGGAUUAGCUACCCCAGUAGUC